UACAGAGGUCUCAAGCGUUGUUCGGAUUCAUUGGGCGUAAAGGGUGCGUAGGUGGUAUCGUAAGUCGGAUGUGAAAUCUCGGGGCUCAACCCCGAAACUGCAUUCGAUACUGCGGUGCUUGAGGACUGGAGAGGAGAUUGGAAUUCACGGUGUAGCAGUGAAAUGCGUAGAUAUCGUGAGGAAGGCCAGUGGCGAAGGCGGAUCUCUGGACAGUUCCUGACACUGAGGCACGAAGGUCAGGGGAGCAAACGGG
This 253-nucleotide ribosomal RNA is filed under the name uncultured Spartobacteria bacterium. RNAcentral's name for it is "partial 16S ribosomal RNA". It matches the Rfam family "Bacterial small subunit ribosomal RNA", at positions 524 to 776 of the family's 1533-position model. The record is from RNAcentral. Lineage: Bacteria; Pseudomonadati; Verrucomicrobiota; Spartobacteria.